GUGGGGAAUAUUGGACAAUGGGGGGAACCCUGAUCCAGCCAUGCCGCGUGUGUGAAGAAGGCCUUUUGGUUGUAAAGCACUUUAAGCGAGGAGGAGGCUACCGAGAUUAAUACUCUUGGAUAGUGGACGUUACUCGCAGAAUAAGCACCGGCUAACUCUGUGCCAGCAGCCGCGGUAAUACAGAGGGUGCAAGCGUUAAUCGGAUUUACUGGGCGUAAAGCGCGCGUAGGUGGCCAAUUAAGUCAAAUGUGAAAUCCCCGAGCUUAACUUGGGAAUUGCAUUCGAUACUGGUUGGCUAGAGUAUGGGAGAGGAUGGUAGAAUUCCAGGUGUAGCGGUGAAAUGCGUAGAGAUCUGGAGGAAUACCGAUGGCGAAGGCAGCCAUCUGGCCUAAUACUGACACUGAGACACGAAAGCAUGGGGAUCAAACAGGAUUAGAUACCCGUGUAGUCC
RNAcentral lists this ribosomal RNA (451 nucleotides) under uncultured bacterium. Its description in RNAcentral is "partial 16S ribosomal RNA". It matches the Rfam family "Bacterial small subunit ribosomal RNA", at positions 354 to 796 of the family's 1533-position model. The record is from RNAcentral.